Molecule: ribosomal RNA, 325 nt
Filed under: uncultured eukaryote
Lineage: Eukaryota
Description: partial 18S ribosomal RNA
Rfam family: Eukaryotic small subunit ribosomal RNA
Source: RNAcentral
CCCUUAGAUGUUCUGGGCCGCACGCGCGCUACACUGAUGCAUUCAACGAGCCUAUCCUUGACCGACAGGUCCGGGUAAUCUUUGAAUCUGCAUCGUGACGGGGAUAGAUUAUUGCAAUUAUUAAUCUUCAACGAGGAAUGCCUUGUAGGCGCAAGUCAUCAGCUUGCGUCGAUUACGUCCCUGCCCUUUGUACACACCGCCCGUCGCUCCUACCGAUUGAGUGGUCCGGUGAGGCUUUGGGAUCUGAGCGGAAAGAGCGUUUCGCUGUUUCUGCUCGGAAAACUCAGUCGAACCUUAUCAUUUAGAGGAAGGAGAAGUCGUAACA